This is an unclassified non-coding RNA of Pongo abelii (Sumatran orangutan), 147 nucleotides long. It matches the Rfam family "Metazoan signal recognition particle RNA". Rfam says of the family: The signal recognition particle (SRP) is a universally conserved ribonucleoprotein. Lineage: Eukaryota; Metazoa; Chordata; Mammalia; Primates; Hominidae. The record is from Ensembl.
GCCAGGUGUGGUGGUGCACACCUGUAAUCCCAGCUACUCGGGAGGCUGAGGCAGGAGGAUUGCUUGAGCCCAGGAGAUCGAGACCUCAGUGAGCCAAGAUUGCUCACUGCCCUGCAGCCUGGAUGACAAAGUGAGACCCUGUCUCAC